RNAcentral lists this ribosomal RNA (433 nucleotides) under uncultured bacterium. Its description in RNAcentral is "partial 16S ribosomal RNA". It matches the Rfam family "Bacterial small subunit ribosomal RNA", at positions 29 to 507 of the family's 1533-position model. The record is from RNAcentral.
AACGAACGCUGGCGGCAUGCUUAACACAUGCAAGUCGAACGAGACCUUCGGGUCUUGUGGCGCACGGGUGCGUAACGCGUGGGAACCUGCCCUUAGGUUCGCAAUAAUUCACCGAAAGGGAUGCUAAUGCCGGCUAAUGUCUUCGGACCAAAGAUUUAUCGCCUUUGGAUGGGCCCGCGUGGGAUUAGCUAGUUGGUAGGGUAAAAGCCUACCAAGGCGACGUUACAUAGUUGGUCUGAGAGGAUGAUCAGCCACACUGGGGCUGAGACACGGCCCAGACUCCUACGCAAGGCAGCAGUGGGGAAUAGUGGACAAGGGGCGAAAGCCUGAUCCAGCAAUGCCGCGUAAGUGAUGAAGGCCGUAGGGUUGUAAAGCUCUUUUACCCGGGAUGAUAAUGACAGUACCGGGAGAAUAAGCUCCGGCUAACUCCGUG